Long non-coding RNA from Mus musculus (house mouse), 355 nucleotides. RefSeq annotates it as predicted gene, 52211. The record is from RefSeq and is a predicted model, not a curated record. NCBI's taxonomy places the organism in Eukaryota, Metazoa, Chordata, Mammalia, Rodentia, Muridae. The transcript is spliced from 3 exons.
GGCCAUAAUUUGUUGACCCAACUGCUUCUAUAAUGGGCCCUGUGAAAAGGCCGGCUCCUCAGCUCAGCUUAAAUCAUCCUACACACAGAACCUGGGUCAGGAACCAUCUGAAGGGAGGGUGGGAGACAAACCCAGGCUCUGUAGAGCAAGGCUACAGCACGAAGACCCAUGGCCCCACCACAGAGAGGAUGUCCUGAGAUUCGAUACAACCACCGGAGACACAAAUGUUUCAAUUUUCUUCCUGUGCCGGUGCAGCCAAGAUUGACCUCAAAAGAACAUUCCCUUUUUCUGGGGACUAUCAAACAUGGAGAUGGCUGAUCAGAACACUCACACACUCCUUCUUGAACAUCAGCAG